This 463-nucleotide ribosomal RNA is filed under the name uncultured bacterium. RNAcentral's name for it is "bacterial SSU rRNA". It matches the Rfam family "Bacterial small subunit ribosomal RNA", at positions 9 to 518 of the family's 1533-position model. The record is from RNAcentral.
AGAGUUGAUCCUGGCUAGAACGAACGCUGGCGGCAGGCUUAACACAUGCAAGUCGAACGCACCGCAAGGUGAGUGGCAGACGGGUGAGUAACGCGUGGGAACCUUCCCUUUGGUACGGAAUAACUUCGGGAAACCGAAGCUAAUACCGUAUAUCUCCUCCGGGGGGAAAAGAUUUAUCGCCAAAAGGAUGGGCCCGCGUUGGAUUAGCUAGUUGGUAGGGUAAAGGCCUACCAAGGCAACGAUCCAUAGCUGGUCUGAGAGGAUGAUCAGCCACACUGGGACUGAGACACGGCCCAGACUCCUACGGGAGGCAGCAGUGGGGAAUAUUGGACAAUGGGCGAAAGCCUGAUCCAGCCAUGCCGCGUGAGUGAAGAAGGCCUUAGGGUUGUAAAGCUCUUUUGGCGGGGACGAUAAUGACGGUACCCGCAGAAUAAGCCCCGGCUAACUUCGUGCCAGCCGCCGC